CACGUAGGGACCAAGCGUUGUCCGGAUUCAUUGGGCGUAAAGAGCUCGUAGGCGGUUCGAUAAGUCGGGUGUGAAACCUCCAGGCUCAACCUGGAGACGCCACCCGAUACUGUCGUGACUAGAGUCCAGUAGGGGAGCGUGGAAUUCCUGGUGUAGCGGUGAAAUGCGUAGAUAUCAGGAGGAACACCGGUGGCGAAGGCGGCUCUCUGGACGGUGACUGACGCUGAGACGCGAAAGCGUGGGGAGCAAACAGG
This 254-nucleotide ribosomal RNA is filed under the name uncultured bacterium. RNAcentral's name for it is "partial 16S ribosomal RNA". It matches the Rfam family "Bacterial small subunit ribosomal RNA", at positions 524 to 776 of the family's 1533-position model. The record is from RNAcentral.